AGCGUUACUGGAUGGUUACGGCGACAGAUUAGAAUCAGCACAGAGACGAAAUUGAAUCUGUUCCUCUUUGAGGGCGCAGGUUCGAAUCCUGCUGGCGUCG
Molecule: non-coding RNA, 100 nt
Organism: Dendrothele bispora CBS 962.96
Lineage: Eukaryota; Fungi; Basidiomycota; Agaricomycetes; Agaricales
Source: the annotation of a GenBank genome assembly